This 497-nucleotide ribosomal RNA is filed under the name uncultured bacterium. Its description in RNAcentral is "partial 16S ribosomal RNA". It matches the Rfam family "Bacterial small subunit ribosomal RNA", at positions 28 to 507 of the family's 1533-position model. The record is from RNAcentral.
GAUGAACGCUGGCGGCGUGCCUAAUACAUGCAAGUCGAGCGAACGGACGAGAAGCUUGCUUCUCUGAUGUUAGCGGCGGACGGGUGAGUAACACGUGGAUAACCUACCUAUAAGACUGGGAUAACUUCGGGAAACCGGAGCUAAUACCGGAUAAUAUUUUGAACCGCAUGGUUCAAAAGUGAAAGACGGUCUUGCUGUCACUUAUAGAUGGAUCCGCGCUGCAUUAGCUAGUUGGUAAGGUAACGGCUUACCACGGCAACGAUGCAUAGCCGACCUGAGAGGGGGAUCGGCCACACGGGAACUGAAACACGGUCCAGAGUCCUAAGGGAGGCAGCAGUAGGGAAUCUUCCGCAAUGGGCGGAAGCCUGGCGGAGCAACGCCGCGUGAGUGAUGAAGGUCUUCGGAUCGUAAAACUCUGUUAUUAGGGAAGAACAUAUGUGUAAGUAACUGUGCACAUCUUGACGGUACCUAAUCAGAAAGCCACGGCUAACUACGUG